Molecule: ribosomal RNA, 593 nt
Filed under: Aliivibrio fischeri SR5
Lineage: Bacteria; Pseudomonadati; Pseudomonadota; Gammaproteobacteria; Vibrionales; Vibrionaceae
Description: bacterial SSU rRNA
Rfam family: Bacterial small subunit ribosomal RNA
Source: RNAcentral
GUGGUUUAAUUCGAUGCAACGCGAAGAACCUUACCUACUCUUGACAUCCAGAGAAUUCGCUAGAGAUAGCUUAGUGCCUUCGGGAACUCUGAGACAGGUGCUGCAUGGCUGUCGUCAGCUCGUGUUGUGAAAUGUUGGGUUAAGUCCCGCAACGAGCGCAACCCUUAUCCUUGUUUGCCAGCACGUAAUGGUGGGAACUCCAGGGAGACUGCCGGUGAUAAACCGGAGGAAGGUGGGGACGACGUCAAGUCAUCAUGGCCCUUACGAGUAGGGCUACACACGUGCUACAAUGGCGCAUACAGAGGGCUGCAAGCUAGCGAUAGUAAGCGAAUCCCAAAAAGUGCGUCGUAGUCCGGAUUGGAGUCUGCAACUCGACUCCAUGAAGUCGGAAUCGCUAGUAAUCGUAGAUCAGAAUGCUACGGUGAAUACGUUCCCGGGCCUUGUACACACCGCCCGUCACACCAUGGGAGUGGGCUGCAAAAGAAGUGGGUAGUUUAACCUUCGGGAGGACGCUCACCACUUUGUGGUUCAUGACUGGGGUGAAGUCGUAACAAGGUAGCCCUAGGGGAACCUGGGGCUGGAUCACCUCCUUA